RNAcentral lists this unclassified non-coding RNA (279 nucleotides) under Hevea brasiliensis (rubber tree). The record is from RNAcentral. Lineage: Eukaryota; Viridiplantae; Streptophyta; Magnoliopsida; Malpighiales; Euphorbiaceae.
GAAUAUUUCUGAUGGGACUUCAAAAGAUAUUCUCUCCCAAAUUUUACUUUGUAUCCCAGAUUUUAUCAUAUGAAAAAUUGGGAAAGUUUUGUAUUCAAUAAGAUCAAUUUAAAUGUUUGUUUGGAAGCAUAAAUGCAAUAAUGUUCAGUUCAAGGAUGAAAAUUGCCUUUAAAAAAAUUUGUACUGCAUAACUUCUCUGAUGUUUCUCGACUAAAUGGCUAUGCAUUUGUCUUUGACCCCUAAUCCUGUUUGUGCAUUGUUGUCAGAGCUUGAGUGCUG